This 659-nucleotide ribosomal RNA is filed under the name uncultured Azospira sp. RNAcentral describes it as "bacterial SSU rRNA". It matches the Rfam family "Bacterial small subunit ribosomal RNA", at positions 18 to 670 of the family's 1533-position model. Lineage: Bacteria; Pseudomonadati; Pseudomonadota; Betaproteobacteria; Rhodocyclales; Rhodocyclaceae. The record is from RNAcentral.
CCUGGCUCAGAUUGAACGCUGGCGGCAUGCCUUACACAUGCAAGUCGAACGGCAGCACGGGAGCUUGCUCCUGGUGGCGAGUGGCGAACGGGUGAGUAAUACAUCGGAACGUACCCAGGAGUGGGGGAUAACGUAGCGAAAGUUACGCUAAUACCGCAUAUUCUGUGAGCAGGAAAGCGGGGGAUCGCAAGACCUCGCGCUCUUGGAGCGGCCGAUGUCGGAUUAGCUAGUUGGUGAGGUAAAAGCUCACCAAGGCGACGAUCCGUAGCAGGUCUGAGAGGAUGAUCUGCCACACUGGGACUGAGACACGGCCCAGACUCCUACGGGAGGCAGCAGUGGGGAAUUUUGGACAAUGGGGGCAACCCUGAUCCAGCCAUGCCGCGUGAGUGAAGAAGGCCUUCGGGUUGUAAAGCUCUUUCGGCGGGGAAGAAAUGGCAACGGCUAAUAUCCGUUGUUGAUGACGGUACCCGCAUAAGAAGCACCGGCUAACUACGUGCCAGCAGCCGCGGUAAUACGUAGGGUGCGAGCGUUAAUCGGAAUUACUGGGCGUAAAGCGUGCGCAGGCGGUUUCGUAAGACAGACGUGAAAUCCCCGGGCUCAACCUGGGAACUGCGUUUGUGACUGCGAGGCUAGAGUACGGCAGAGGGGGGUAGAAUUCC